AGAAUAUGAAAAUAUUAUUUUUAAUUCAUCUUAUUAAUGCAAUUAUUAUAUAUGAGAUGGUCUCUUCUAAAAUACAAAAUGAUUGAUGUAAAUCUCAUAGAAGUACUACAGAGUUUUAGUGUUUCGUAUCACUGACUGGAGGUAAGCAACAUGGGAGUUUACUACAAUGAAUUGGUUCACAUAAUGAUGAAUCUCGACAACAAGGAUUUAAACCUUGUACACCACCAGCUAGAGCUCCUAAGAUUGCAACAAGUAACAAGGCAUACUUCAAUAAACUCUUCACUGGAAUUUCCAUCUUAACAAACUUGCUUUGCAAAAAAGAGAUUAUUGAAU
Molecule: long non-coding RNA, 333 nt
Filed under: Cicer arietinum (chickpea)
Lineage: Eukaryota; Viridiplantae; Streptophyta; Magnoliopsida; Fabales; Fabaceae
Description: long non-coding RNA (CARI_LNC000460)
Source: RNAcentral